UACGUAGGGUGCGAGCGUUAAUCGGAAUUACUGGGCGUAAAGCGUGCGCAGGCGGCGCCGCAAGUCGAGUGUGAAAGCCCCGGGCUUAACUUGGGAAUUGCGCUCGAAACUACUUUGCUGGAGUGUGGCAGAGGAAGGUGGAAUUCCACGUGUAGCGGUGAAAUGCGUAGAGAUGUGGAGGAACACCAAUGGCGAAGGCAGCCUUCUGGGCCAACACUGACGCUCAUGCACGAAAGCGUGGGGAGCAAACAGG
Molecule: ribosomal RNA, 253 nt
Filed under: uncultured bacterium
Lineage: Bacteria
Description: partial 16S ribosomal RNA
Rfam family: Bacterial small subunit ribosomal RNA
Source: RNAcentral